GCCUGUCACCCCUCCACAAAGGGGUGAUAUUAUUUUGCUGACAGCCCUGAAGACCACUCAAUCUCAUGUUGCAAAUCUGGCCACGAUGGGGACCAAGCCCAGUGCAAGGAGAGAACUGCAAACAUUUCAAGGGCGAACAUUUUCUUGGCUUCCAGGCUCAGAAGGAAGGAGGCAAUGUCUUCCGUGGAGAGGGACAGGAGAGCUCAGGAACGCAAAUGCUACAGUAAUAUUUUGCCCACAGAUUCAGAGAGAAAAAUCCAACCCAGGCAAGACGCUCCCUUGUGCAGUGGGCACGGAGACGUGACAUUGCAUCAUUGCACGUUGCACGGUGGCAGUGGCCUUGCUGUUCUCUCCUGGACAGAGGAGCAACCAGAAUGGCAACUGAGAUUAGCAUCGAGUGACCAACAUUGUAUUUGCAUCUGAAAGUGCCCGCCACAAACAGCUGAGGCAGCAUUUGAGCUGGAGGAGAGCUCUGUCCUCCAUGGGGGCGAAAGAGCAGAGACAAAGGAAUGGAGCUCCACUUCCUCCUCAGGGAAAGAGAAAAGCUUGAAAUUGUGAGUUUUCCCAGGCUUCUUCUGGGAUGCCAAGGAAGACUGAAUUGCAUAAUCUCACAAAAAUGUGAGAUGCAACCUACGCCUUCAUAAACUAAUAAUAUAGAGUCGAGGGAUUAGAGACACUGAGAAACAUGUGUGUGAUUUCCUGACCUGAGCACAAUUAAAGACGUUGAUUGUGAAAUCUAAAUGCCUCCAGAACCAAAGAACUACAGACCCAAGAAAUGUAACUCACCAUGGAGGGAUCCUGAUGUCAUGUUGGGUUCUUUCAUAAGAGCUCCCGGGGAGAACCCAGAGACACGUAGGAGUGUCUUUUCCAUUAAACUCAGAAGGUCCAUAUUGGAAACCUUGCCUGUUCUUCCAACAGAGAGAGAUUGCAUCGAAAGGCAAAGCUAGCUUUUAAUAUAUUGCUAUUUUAGAGAUUUCCUUCUUUCUCUGUAUUUGGUUUGUUUUAAACGUGUUGAUUAUUGGCUGUUGAUGAGCAAAGCACUGGGCUCAGAGCAGAGCUGCUGAGCUUGGAACCGUAGCCAAAUGCUCCAAGGGCCUCCUCAGCAGCACCUGCCCGAGCAACAUGAAGGAGUGCAGAUGUGUGGCCUGGCAACUCUGGAAGGAAGGUUACCCAAGGGGCAGUGUUCUAUUAAAUUGAACACUGUUCAUUGGGCACGUCCUUGUGUCACAUCACUGUGUUAGGGCCACACAUUGGGAACGCAAAGGUAAGUGUGACAUAGCUCCUGCCCAUAAGAAUGUCACAAUUUUUUUUUAAAAAGAUGUUAUUUAUUUAUUUGAUCGAGAGAGAGAGAGAGAGAGAGCGCGCACCAGUGGGGGCAGAGGAGUGGCAGAGAGAGAAAAGGGAGCCAAAUGCAGAGCGUCCCGGGAUCAUGACCUGAACCAAAAGCAGAUGCUUGCUUAACUGACUGAGCCACCCAGGCACCCGAAGAAUGUCACAAUUUGAUAGGAAUAUAAUUAAAUUAAAAUUAAAUUUAAAAAAUUCAAUUCAAUUAAAAAAUUGAAUUCAUUCAUGUGCUAAAUUAGCAACAUGAACAUUAUUUUUUUAUGCAGACUCCAGGGAUAAGGGAGGCCUUUAAAAAAAUCCUUCAUCAACAUCAUAAUCCAAGGGAAUUUAUCUAGACUUAUUACAAGGAUUUCUGUCUCUGGACCCCCUAAGUCUGUGGUGCUCAAAGUAGACGUGGGUACCCUAACCGUGCAGAUGCAGAAAUGAAAUAUGAUAACAUAUUCAUGCUUUUAAAUGUAUUCUUUUGAAUUUUAUUUUUUGUGUAUGUUUUAUAACAUGACAUAAUGGUUCAGUAGUAACUUUAUUAUUUACAAAAAUAAUGAACUAUGUUGGGAGGUGCAUGCUCAGGAAAGCUUGACGUGAGAAUGUGAACGGAAGUUUGAAAAAUGAUUAAACUCAGUUGUCCCCCAUCAUCCUCAAGGCCGUGGAUCAUCUUCCCUGAGGCCUCUGGGUAGUUUGGCUGCAUCGUAGCAACUGGAAGCUCACCUGGCCAUCUCUAUCACCUCUGCUAAGUGGAGAAGACCCUCCAAUUAUUGGCAUCCUUCCUCCUUUGCAGGUUCCCUGUCAUUAUAUGACUUUCCCUCUGCCCACCCCCCUUUUUAAAGAUUUUAUCUAUUUAUUUAUUCAUGAAAGACACAGAGAGAGAGAGGCAGAGAUAUAGGCAGAGGGAGAAGCAGGCUCCAUGCAGGGAGCCCAAUGUGGGACUCGAUCCUGGGACUCCAGGAUCACGCCCUGAGCCGAAGGCAGACGCCCAACCACUGCUGAGCCACCCAGGAUCCCUCCCAUCACCCUUUUAUGUCAUAAAUGGUUAAGGAGGCAGACGCCCAGGUAGGUGAGGUAACUCAUCCAACAUUAUAGAACUAGUAUUACUAAGGUGCUUUCUGGCAAAAAUUAAGGAAGAAAACAAAACAAAGCUGAUAUUGGCUGAGAUGAUGGACUAGUUAGAAACUGGCCAACAUUUUAAACAGAAAAGCAAAAAUCACAAAACCUGUUGGUACAAGAGCUAUAAAAGCUGUGAGGUGAAGGAGGCACGGGGUAAAUGAAUCAGCACAACUCAUGGCUACUUGUGGAAUUCGGUGGUCAUACAGGCCCCGUGAAAAUCCCCACUUUGCCGCUCAGUACCUGUGAGAUCUGAGCUAUGACUGGACACUCUCAAGUGUGUCAGUUGCUGCUCUUGGGCUACAAGGAAUAGAAACCAGCUCUGGCUAACGUAAGCACUCCCCAAAAGAAUUUGUUGAGAGGGAAUGGGAUCAUUCCUAGAAUCCAAGGGAAGAGCUGGAGUGCAGGCCCUAGGAAGGAUAACAUCUAGUGCAGUUCCUGGGACCCUGGCAAUGACAUGGAGCCUCUUGCCUCUCGGGACUGGGCUCUGAAAACUCCACCAUAACUGCCCUUGGGUUCUGGAAUGUACAUCCACUCAGAAUCCUAAGUUCUCAGGAUGGAGAUUCCAACUGGCCUGUCUUAGUCCCGUGCCUAUCUGUGUGGUUCUGUGAUUGGACAGGGCUGGGAUUUAAACCCUAGGAGCCUUCAGAGUGGAAGAAAGGCUGGUGCACAAAGGAAGGAGGGCAGAGCCAGACAAAAAAACUGGGCACGUCUACCACACUGAGGUUCAGUUACCUCCUCUGGGAAAUGGAAAUGAAAAUACAGAUCUGAGAGGGGUUGCGUUGCAGAUUAAUCGAACAAGAUAAAGUUUACAAAAUCCUCAGUACAAGGCCUGGAGCUUAGUAAGCAUUCAAUAAAUACAAAUAAAAAUUUUAAAUAAAA
Long non-coding RNA from Canis lupus familiaris (dog), 3324 nucleotides. RefSeq lists it as uncharacterized. The transcript has 3 exons. NCBI's taxonomy places the organism in Eukaryota, Metazoa, Chordata, Mammalia, Carnivora, Canidae. The record is from RefSeq and is a predicted model, not a curated record.